GACGAACGCUGGCGGCGUGCCUAAUACAUGCAAGUAGAACGCUGAAGAGAGGAGCUUGCUCUUCUUGGAUGAGUUGCGAACGGGUGAGUAACGCGUAGGUAACCUGCCUUGUAGCGGGGGAUAACUAUUGGAAACGAUAGCUAAUACCGCAUAACAAUAGGUGACACAUGUCAUUUAUUUGAAAGGGGCAAUUGCUCCACUACAAGAUGGACCUGCGUUGUAUUAGCUAGUAGGUGAGGUAACGGCUCACCUAGGCGACGAUACAUAGCCGACCUGAGAGGGUGGUCGGCCACCCUGGGACUGAGACACGGCCCAGACUCCUACGGGAGGCAGCAGUAGGGAAUCUUCGGCAAUGGGGGCAACCCUGACCGAGCAACGCCGCGUGAGUGAAGAAGGUUUUCGGAUCGUAAAGCUCUGUUGUAAGUCAAGAACGAGUGUGAGAGUGGAAAGUUCACACUGUGACGGUAGCUUACCAGAAAGGGACGGCUAACUACGUG
This 497-nucleotide ribosomal RNA is filed under the name uncultured bacterium. RNAcentral's name for it is "partial 16S ribosomal RNA". It matches the Rfam family "Bacterial small subunit ribosomal RNA", at positions 28 to 507 of the family's 1533-position model. The record is from RNAcentral.